RNAcentral lists this ribosomal RNA (1164 nucleotides) under Bacillus pumilus. RNAcentral's name for it is "bacterial SSU rRNA". It matches the Rfam family "Bacterial small subunit ribosomal RNA", at positions 173 to 1321 of the family's 1533-position model. The record is from RNAcentral. Lineage: Bacteria; Bacillati; Bacillota; Bacilli; Caryophanales; Bacillaceae.
UGGUUGUUUGAACCGCAUGGUUCAAAUGUAAAAGGUGGCUUCGGCUACCACUUACAGAUGGACCCGCGGCGCAUUAGCUAGUUGGUGAGGUAUCGGCUCACCAAGGCAACGAUGCGGAGCCGACCUGAGAGGGUGAUCGGCCACACUGGGACUGAGACACGGCCCAGACUCCUACGGGAGGCAGCAGUAGGGAAUCUUCCGCAAUGAACGAAAGUCUGACGGAGCAACGCCGCGUGAGUGAUGAAGGUUUUCGGAUCGUAAAGCUCUGUUGUUAGGGAAGAACAAGUACCGUUCGAAUAGGGCGGUACCUUGACGGUACCUAACCAGAAAGCCACGGCUAACUACGUGCCAGCAGCCGCGGUAAUACGUAGGUGGCAAGCGUUGUCCGGAAUUAUUGCGCGUAAAGGGCUCGCAGGCGGUUUCUUAAGUCUGAUGUGAAAGCCCCCCGGCUCAACCGGGGAGGGUCAUUGUAAACUGGGGAACUUGAGUGCAGAAGAGGAGAGUGCAAUUCCACGUGUAGCGGUGAAAUGCGUAAGAUGUGGAGGAACACCAGUGGCGAAGGCGACUCUCUGGUCUGUAACUGACGCUGAGGAGCGAAAGCGUGGGGAGCGAACAGGAUUAGAUACCCUGGUAGUCCACGCCGUAAACGAUGAGUGCUAAGUGUUAGGGGGGUUUCCGCCCCUUAGUGCUGCAGCUAACGCAUUAAGCACUCCGCCUGGGGGGAGUACGGUCGCAAGACUGAAACUCAAAGGAAUUGACGGGGGCCCGCACAAGCGGUGGAGCAUGUGGUUUAAUUCGAAGCAACGCGAAGAACCUUACCAGGUCUUGACAUCCUCUGACAAUCCUAGAGAUAGGACGUUCCCUUCGGGGGCAGAGUGACAGGUGGUGCAUGGUUGUCGUCAGCUCGUGUCGUGAGAUGUUGGGUUAAGUCCCGCAACGAGCGCAACCCUUGAUCUUAGUUGCCAGCAUUCAGUUGGGCACUCUAAGGUGACUGCCGGUGACAAACCGGAGGAAGGUGGGGAUGACGUCAAAUCAUCAUGCCCCUUAUGACCUGGGCUACACACGUGCUACAAUGGACAGAACAAAGGGCAGCGAAACCGCGAGGUUAAGCCAAUCCCACAAAUCUGUUCUCAGUUCGGAUCGCAGUCUGCAACUCGACUGCGU